RNAcentral lists this long non-coding RNA (1205 nucleotides) under Papio anubis (olive baboon). Its description in RNAcentral is "lncRNA (ENSPANG00000037573.1)". Lineage: Eukaryota; Metazoa; Chordata; Mammalia; Primates; Cercopithecidae. The record is from RNAcentral.
AAAGUGCUGGGAUUACAGGCCUGAGCCACCGCGCCCGGCCCCUUCCAUGUCCUGAUUUCAUCUUCACUCAAUUCUUUUAUUCAUUUUCUGCGUCUACUAUGUGGAUUGUCUAAAUGAUUAGUAAGAGCACAUUGUGUGGAUAUUGCGUUAUCUCAAAGAACUACCCUGUAAAUACAAGGUCUACAGAUCACAGAGUUCUCAAAUUGUUUGGCACAUAAUUGAUAAUGUUUAUUUAGUUGAUCAAGUGUUCUAUCUUCUAAGUCUCUUCUCUGCUACAAUUCUCCACCCACUCCUGGCAUCUGGCCGACCCCCAAGAACCUGAAGAAGGCCAGAGAUGUGAUUCCGACAGAAUGGUGGGGGCAGCAUAGGUGGCUGAGCCUCUGAGAGAAAUCCCAUCUUUCCAAACAGAGGACUGGGAAAAUACAUCCUGGGAUCCAGAGAUUGUGGGGGACAUUCCAAAGAGGAAUAGUCAGCGAAAGCAUAAUCCAUCUAAUGCCAGAAAUCUACUGACUGCUAACAGAGAAGAAAUUUAUGAUCUGCUGAGAUUUGGCAGUUGUUUGUUACUACAACAUGAGGCUAUCCAAUCUGGACCAGUAUAGCACUUACCUAGAGAAGAAGAUAAUUAUAAAUGAGUGGGGGAAAAUGACUUAGAAUUAUUCUAAGGAAAUUAUCUUCUGAUCUGUUCUAAUAUCAGUUCUGAUCAAUUCUUCCAAGCAAAUGAUUUUCCAAGUGUCUAUUAAAUUUAAUAAAGCAUUCAAGAAAAUGACACAAAGUCAGAGAUUUGCUUUAACAUAUAUCAGGAAAUAAGUUGAAACAGAUGAAAUAAAUGUGCCAAAAUCUUGAUAAUUGCUAAAUCCAGGUGAUGGCUAUUCCUUUUACUUUUAAAUAUAUUUGAACAUUUUUAUAAAACAAAAUUGGAGAUGAAUCCUCAAAAAGACAUGAUUGAAAUAUAAUUGAUAUAAAAAGUUGCAAUUAGUAUGAAAUAAUACUUAUAAUGAUGAAUAAAAAUUGUACUAAAAUAAGAUUUGCCAGGGUUAUUUCACAACUGUAUGAAACAUAUACUACAAGGUGCACAUAAUCGCUUUGUCUUUUAUUGACCUAAAUAAAAUAUACAUCAAUAUACUCUAUAAGUUGAUUUUAUAAUUAUUAAUUUGGCAUAUUGAUAUUGUUAAUGAGUAGCUAUUCUGGUGACUGGAAAGAUUUUU